This 317-nucleotide unclassified non-coding RNA is filed under the name Tranquillimonas rosea. Its description in RNAcentral is "Roseivivax roseus Long range pseudoknot". The record is from RNAcentral. Lineage: Bacteria; Pseudomonadati; Pseudomonadota; Alphaproteobacteria; Rhodobacterales; Roseobacteraceae.
ACCCACGACUACGAUGUGAAGAUGCGCAACGUGGUCAAGUUCCUCGAACAGGGGGACAAGGUGAAGGUGACGCUGCGCUUCCGCGGUCGCGAGAUGGCGCACCAGAACCUCGGGCGCGAAUUGCUCGAGCGGGUGGCCAGCGACGUGAAGGAACUGGGCAAGGUCGAAAACAUGCCCAAGAUGGAAGGCCGCCAGAUGGUCAUGAUGAUCGGGCCGACGAUCAAGUAAACGAUGGAGCGCGCGCCGACCUCUUCCCACGCGGCGCGCUAUUCCCCCGACAACUCCGACAGUCAUGCCGACGGCCGCCUUGUGGCGGA